RNAcentral lists this ribosomal RNA (446 nucleotides) under uncultured soil bacterium. Its description in RNAcentral is "bacterial SSU rRNA". It matches the Rfam family "Bacterial small subunit ribosomal RNA", at positions 26 to 465 of the family's 1533-position model. The record is from RNAcentral.
AGAUUGAACGCUAGCGGGAUGCUUUACACAUGCAAGUCGAACGGCAGCGCGGACUUCGGUCUGGCGGCGAGUGGCGAACGGGUGAGUAAUAUAUCGGAACGUGCCCAGUAGCGGGGGAUAACUACGCGAAAGCGUGGCUAAUACCGCAUACGCCCUACGGGGGAAAGGGGGGAUCGCAAGACCUCUCACUAUUGGAGCGGCCGAUAUCAGAUUAGCUAGUUGGUGAGGUAAAGGCUCGACCAAGGCGACGAUCUGUAGCUGGUUUGAGAGGACGACCAGCCACACUGGGACUGAGACACGGCCCAGACCUCCGUACGGGAGGCAGCAGUGGGUAAUUUGGACAAGUGGGGGAAACCCUGGAUCCGAGCCAUCCCGCGUGUCGCGAUGGAAGGUCCGUUCGGGUUAGUAAGCUACGUUUUGGCGAAGGAAGAACGGUACGUUAGAAC